This 486-nucleotide ribosomal RNA is filed under the name uncultured bacterium. RNAcentral's name for it is "partial 16S ribosomal RNA". It matches the Rfam family "Bacterial small subunit ribosomal RNA", at positions 28 to 507 of the family's 1533-position model. The record is from RNAcentral.
GACGAACGCUGGCGGCGUGCUUAACACAUGCAAGUCGAACGCUGAAGACCUGGCUUUUGUUGGGUUGGAUGAGUGGCGAACGGGUGAGUAACACGUGAGUAACCUGCCCUCUUCUUUGGGAUAACGCCCGGAAACGGGUGCUAAUACUGGGUAUUCACUGGCCUUCGCAUGGGGGUUGGUGGAAAGGUUUGUUCUGGUGGGGGAUGGGCUCGCGGCCUAUCAGCUUGUUGGUGGGGUGAUGGCCUACCAAGGCUUUGACGGGUAGCCGGCCUGAGAGGGUGACCGGUCACAUUGGGACUGAGAUACGGCCCAGACUCCUACGGGAGGCAGCAGUGGGGAAUAUUGCACAAUGGGCGAAAGCCUGAUGCAGCGACGCCGCGUGAGGGAUGGAGGCCUUCGGGUUGUAAACCUCUUUCGCUCAUGGUCAAGCCGCAACUGUGGGUUGUGGUGAGGGUAGUGGGUAAAGAAGCGCCGGCUAACUACGUG